AUGAGAGUCCACGGAGGCCAACCACAGAAAGAAUCACAUGGACUUAAUCGAAGGUAUCUGGAGAGAGUUUUUAGAUCCUUACGAUGGCGAUUCGGACGAUCCCCCCCGUCAUCCCGCCUCCGGCUUCAGCGACUGUCCUCGGGGGGCCGUGAGCCGUCCGGGGUCUCCGCGCGCACUCAGGAGCGGGGGCCCCGGAGGAACCAGCUCGGAGGAGCCCCCCGCGUCGAAGCCCCCAGGCCGCCCGAGCCGGGGCCCCGCGCCCCUGGAGGCCGACGACGUGGACAUGCAGCCCGCGGAGGCCGGCAGCCCCCAGGCCCGGGGGCGGGCGGCCAGGCGCUCGGGGGUCCCCGGACGAGGACUGCGGGAUGUGGGAGGACCGCUGGCCCCGGGCGCCCGGCCCCCUCCUCCCCGCCGCGGGGCCCCCCGAGCCUGGCAGACACGCGCAGGGCCGCGGCAGAGCGGCCCGGCCACCCCCCAGGCUCGGCAGCGAGAAGGACAAGGGGCCCAAGCUCACCCUCUCCAAGAGGAAACUGGAACUUUUACUUGCGGAGCCUGAGAAAACGAAGAGAAAGAGGCAGUAUGUGGCCCAGAGCGAGGUGAGCAGGGGGAGCCGGAGGGGCGCCCACGCCCCGGGGAGCCCUCGGCCAGGAGUCCGGGGGCUUCGGUUCUCAUGAAGCACCUGCGCGUUUUAGGCCUUAGAUACGAACACUGGGUGCCCCCACUUUGCUUACAGAUGGGUUUCCAACUGAGGACAGCCCUGUGUGGCCCUCGUGGGACCCACCUCUAAAUCCGAGAAUUCCCUUACUUUUACUAAGUAUUUAUGUAUCCGCAGAACUAGUGGUUUUCACACCCUGACUCCUGCUGCCCCUUGUUCUUGACCCUGAAUGUCUGCUGGGCUGGGGGUGGGGGGUGUCCCGCUCUGGGGGUGCUGACACAUGGAGGCCUGUAAGAAUAUUUAGGACACGGGGACGCCUGGGUGGCUCAGGGGUUUGGCAUCUGCCUU
This 1003-nucleotide long non-coding RNA is filed under the name Canis lupus familiaris (dog). RNAcentral describes it as "lncRNA (ENSCAFG00845005483.1)". Lineage: Eukaryota; Metazoa; Chordata; Mammalia; Carnivora; Canidae. The record is from RNAcentral.